GAUGAACGCUGGCGGCGUGCCUAAUACAUGCAAGUCGAGCGAACGGACGAGAAGCUUGCUUCUCUGAUGUUAGCGGCGGACGGGUGAGUAACACGUGGAUAACCUACCUAUAAGACUGUGAUAACUUCGGGAAACCGGAGCUAAUACCGGAUAAUAUUUUGAACCGCAUGGUUCAAAAGUGAAAGACGGUCUUGCUGUCACUUAUAGAUGGAUCCGCGCUGCAUUAGCUAGUUGGUAAGGUAACGGCUUACCAAGGCAACGAUGCAUAGCCGACCUGAGAGGGUGAUCGGCCACACUGGAACUGAGACACGGUCCAGACUCCUACGGGAGGCAGCAGUAGGGAAUCUUCCGCAAUGGGCGAAAGCCUGACGGAGAAACGCCGCGUGAGUGAUGAAGGUCUUCGGAUCGUAAAACUCUGUUAUUAGGGAAGAACAUAUGUGUAAGUAACUGUGCACAUCUUGACGGUACCUAAUCAGAAAGCCACGGCUAACUACGUG
Molecule: ribosomal RNA, 497 nt
Filed under: uncultured bacterium
Lineage: Bacteria
Description: partial 16S ribosomal RNA
Rfam family: Bacterial small subunit ribosomal RNA
Source: RNAcentral